Molecule: ribosomal RNA, 497 nt
Filed under: uncultured bacterium
Lineage: Bacteria
Description: partial 16S ribosomal RNA
Rfam family: Bacterial small subunit ribosomal RNA
Source: RNAcentral
GAUGAACGCUGGCGGCGUGCCUAAUACAUGCAAGUCGAGCGAACGGACGAGAAGCUUGCUUCUCUGAUGUUAGCGGCGGACGGGUGAGUAACACGUGGAUAACCUACCUAUAAGACUGGGAUAACUUCGGGAAACCGGAGCUAAUACCGGAUGAUAUUUUGAACCGCAUGGUUCAAAAGUGAAAGACGGUCUUGCUGUCUCUUAUAGAUGGAUCCGCGCUGCAUUAGCUAGUUGGUAAGGUAACGGCUUACCAAGGCAACGAUGCAUAGCCGACCUGAGAGGGUGAUAGGCCGCACUGGAACUGAGACACGGUCCAGACUCCUACGGGAGGCAGCAGUAGGGAAUCUUACGCAAUGGGCGAAAGCAUGACGGAGCAACGCCGCGUGAGUGAUGAAGGUCUUCGGAUCGUAAAAAUCUGUUAUUAGGGAAGAACAGAUGUGUAAGUAAAUGUGCACAUCUUGACGGUACCUAAUCAGAAAGCCACGGCUAACUACGUG